CUUAAUGAUUCUGAUUUUCUAUACUUCAGAACUGCAGUUAUUUAGAAAGAGCUGAAAUAAAUAUUUUUAGAAGAAAUUGCAGUUGCAGUUUAUACAUAGCUGCAUUGUUCAAUGUAGAAAUCAGUCCCUUUGUUCCAGUAGACAUAGACCAGAUUUAUAAAAACAUUAAGGUGCUCAGAGUCACAGAAACCUUGUAGAGAUGAGAGAUUUCAAAGCUCCAUCAGUCUUUGCAGCCUACAUGUCCAACUGAACCUGGGUUUAGGGAUGACACUGUAGGCGUCACACACGUGUGUUCCGACAAUUGAUCACAUUAUAAAACAUCUAGAAAGAAGUCAUUAAGAUAGUGUUCCUGUUAGAAAUACCUGUACUAGCACUGUGGUACUCCAUAUUCCCUUGUAUAUCACUGAUUCUCUUAUCAAUUUCUUCAGUACAAAAGCAUUAAAGGCUUUUAUUGAAUAUAGAUCUUACAAGUUCACUUUAAGGUCUGACCAUUAAACCAAGCUGUUUCCAUCUAUUUGUCAUCAUUUGCAGUAAUGGUUCUCUAGUUUGGUGUCUGUCUUCUGCAGUCCCAGUGUUCUCUGAUUAGGCUCCUGUGGACACCUGUGCAGAUCACACUGCCAUCUUUUCCUUUUGUCUGAAAAAGCCCUACAGGGCCCUAUAUGUGGUACAGUGAAACGGUUUCUCAAAGUUAUUUGUCUUAUGUACAAAGAAAGACCAUAUGUCAAAACAGCUUUUUAAAAAAAACCUUAAAAUUACAUUCCCCCUUUCACAACUGAAUCUGAUCUUGGUGAGCAUGUCCUUUCUAUUGCCUGAUGCAUUUUCCCAGGAGAUUUGGCAUUUUUGAAUCUCUAUCAUGCAGAAAUGGGAUGGCUCUGUAAGCAAAAUUCAGCCAAAGCAGUAAGUUUCUUGGAGAGCAAAAGAGCUAUAAAACCAAUUUCAGCUAUUGAGUAUAUUCUGCAUCUGAUCCACAGAAAUACUGUGCAUGUAUUAAUAUGCCUUUUAAAACAGAAAAGUGAAUGUCUUUACAAGAGACAUUUGUGUCAAUUUUGGCAGUACUAGGGAGUAUAGUUACUAGCAGAUUUAUCUAGCCUGGCUGAAAGCUCUAGCUCCCAACUUCUCAGAGAAUGGUGAGGCAAGAUACUUUAAAAGGAAAUAUCUUGUUUCUACAAGAAAGAUGAAAGGGGAGGGAAAGAUCGUUUUCCUUAAAUUAUCCUUUAGCAAUAUGGAAGAGCUCUGGUUUGUUAGUAUUUACACACCACAGUGAAAAUAAUGCCCCACUCAUGAUAAAACUAUAGUUAUUUUAUAUUCUGAGUUUAUUUUCUGGAGAUUUCAGAAUAAUACAUUCUUAUGAUCAAGAUUUUACAGCUUUCUUUAGUAAUUUCUUAAUAGGCAGUAUUGUUUUUAGUGCUGCUCUUUUCUGCUUAAUUUUUUUUUUUCUGCACGCUCCUUCAACAACUCUGAUGGUAAAUGCAUGAGAAAAGAGUAAGGUUAAGUAUUCAAAAGGUAAGAAAUGUCACAUUUAUAAAAUCCCUCUAAGAAGCAACUCUUGACUACAUUGUCAGCUACUAUUUCUGAAGUACAAUUAUUUUAUCACUUCAGAUAAUUCAGCAUUUUGUACUGUUGAACAGUUUGUGUAUGCCAGAAAAUCUGGCAAAUCUCUUAUCUGCUACUGCAGUCUCUAACCACAGGUCUCUAUUCUGUUCUCAUGGUAAUGGUCAAAGCAUGGAUAUGCUGAUCCACCAACACCUGGGUGCUUUCUAGUGAUUAAUUCUGUAAGUACAGCUGUUUUACAGAUUUAUUCUACAUUACAGGUAUGAUUAUCCAAAUUUCAAGCCUGGCAGAUGAUCUGGGUAGCUAUAUUUAAUUAAGUGAUAAGAACAGAACAAGGCUGAAUUCUGGAUGUAUUUUUAAUUUUCCAAGAUCUGAGAAAGCAUUCUAGAAAUUUUUUUCUCAACUGUUUAUUCACUGUUAUUGUUGGUCAUGGGCUGGUCACUGUUGUUGCAUAAUUUGACUAUUUGUCAGAUUUAUUAACCAGAUUAAGAAUGUUGUGAGAUGUGACUUGCAUUUGUAGGAUACCUGUACAUGCAGCUAAGUUAGCUUCAAAGUAAAAUCUCAUCUCAAGCACUGCUGCUGCUUGAAAAACUUCUAUAGUAUAUGACUGCUGUCUAAAAUAAAAAAAAAUAUUUACUGAGGAAAGAUGAGGAUUUAAUCACAGAAAAGUUUGUUGGUAAAGACGUACUGGACUGUUAUAACAGUGCAAAAUAUUGUAUAAUAUUAUAAUCUGUCUCUGACUUUGUGGGAGAAAAAGUAUGAUAUUGACGAGUAAAUGAUUAUGUAAUUAGACUGUAUUGUAAACUAUACAAAAAGACAUAGAGCUAAAAAGAAUUGGAGUUUCUGGUCUGCCAUGUGGCAUUCCAGAUAUAGCUUCCUGACAAAUCUCAAAGUUGAAAAUCUUUUACUAUGUCAAGCAAAAAUAUUAAAAAACAAAGUUCCAUUAUAUGUAGUUAGCCUUAUCACUUCUGGAAGGCUUGAUUUCAUGUGCUUCAAGGACACUUUCCCCUUUCCAGUAAAAUUUGAUGCAGGUUUUACUGCAAAAGAUCUGUGCUUUUUGUGGAAGCUCAUUUCAAACAGUCUUCAGUAAGCAGCUUGCUUUAUUCAGGCCUUCUCUUGGAAGACAUGGAAAAUGGCUGUUAGGAAAGUUUUCACUGAAGAGGAACUGGGUUCUCCUCAGUUUUUGUGUCGAUUGAAGUCUUGACUAGAAAUGGGAACAAAAAUCAGGCCUUUCAGUCCCCGUUUUCCAGAUGGAGUAAGAGAAGUGGAACUUCUGCAGCUGUGAUAUUGCCAGGGCUCUGGCUGUAUACAGACCUUUGGAUUACUGUAAUUCUAUUAUUGAUUAAGAUCGUUAGCCUCUGUGUGGUUCACAAGCUACUGUAUAGGUGUGUCCUUUGGUUCACAAAGGUUAAAUUUUGCUUUCUAUUCUGCCCUUCUAAACCAAAGACAAUGCAAUUAGUUUUACUACUGAUUUCAGAAAGCAUAAGCAAAAGCAUUUCCCCUGAUUAAAAAUUUGUGAGCCACUUGGAAACAUUUCUUAAACAGCACUAUAUAGAAUAAAUGCACAUUUUUCUCUCUUGCCCAUAGCUGUGUCCUGAAAUAAUUUUUGUUGUAGCCCAUGCUGGAAUGUCACAGUUGUAGCAAGUGUCACUGGAAUGGGAAAUUUACAUAAUAGAAAUAUCCCUUGUUCUUUAAAGUGAUUACUUAUUGCUAUUUUUUUAAUCUCUGUUCUUAUGGUAGCUGUGCUUAAAAUCACCAUUUCCAUAGUUUGUGUUGGAUGACCACAUUGCAAGAUAUAUUUUGUUAUUGCUUCCUGGUGGGUUUCUUAUACCUUUCCCUGGAGCAUCUUCCCUGCAGGAGAUAGGAUGUGAGAACCUGUGGUUCUGAUCAUAUUUGGCAAUUCCUGUGAUCGUAAGUUUGUGUACUGCACUGGAGCUUUGAAACUCUUGCAUUAGACUGGGAUAUGGUUGUAUUGCCCCAGGGAUGCAAAGCUAAAGUACCAAAGGAACAAAUUAACAGGAUGUCACAUUAAAGUAAUUUUUCAACUCUAAUUUAGGUAACUAGAUUAAUGUGAGUUCAUUUAGGAAUACUUAAAUAUAACAUAAUCACAUCUAAAUGAUGUACAAUAUCAACAAUAAUUAAGGCAGAAAAAUCAAAUUUAUGUAAAAAGGAGUCUAGACUUUCAGUGUUUGUACACCUCAAAUACAUCUGCUGAAAGAUAGUCGAGUCAGAAACAAAUGCUUUAAAUUCCAAAUCAUGCAGUAAACUUGACUUUGACUCUGGGAGUCUUUCUGUAAGGAAUUAUUUAAAACCCGACAUUGUCUUCUGGCCUAUUUUCCAUUGUUAGGACUGGUCAAGCCCUUCAGUCCACUUGAAAACACUUUAGGAUUUCUGAAACUGCUGUCAGCGGCCUGGUGGAUGGCUCAUUUGACAUGUCUGUCAUGUUGUGAAGUGUGUGUAGGAGCUGGAUUAAGUGAAGAGAAGGUUGGCUCGUCUGACUGCCUACUGAGGAGCUUCAGGUCGGGAAAGCUUUCUCUACAUUAGGACUGCAGUAAUUGGAAGAGAAGAAAAGUAGAAGGCAAGGACAGCAUUGUGGUGAGGUAGGGAGAGGGAGGCAGCGGAGGCUGGAUGGAGGUGGCUGAAGUACAUAUGCUAUUGGAGUAUAGGAAUAUUAGUUCUUCUCAGUGCCAUAUUGGAGACUUUGAGAAAUUUUAAAGAAAUAAUUUACUGUCAGCUUUUUCAGCCUUAGACUUUUGGCACACAAAGUCCUCCUAAUGCUCGAAGGCAUUAGCUCUUCCUUCUUUUGGAACGUUGAAGGGAGAAAACAGAAGUAGAAGAAUGAUGUGGAAGUAUCUGUCUGCCUUUGGAUAAAAAGAGUGAGGCAUCUUCCCCUCCCCUCCUGAACCUGAGUCUUUUGUGGAGCUCACACUAAGUUACAGAAAACUCAACUGAAUAAUUCUGCACUCUGUGGAUGUCAGCUGCUUUUUACAAUAGAUUUGUAAUGUUCCCAAAUACAGGUAAGCAGUGAAAAUUUCUGAUCCAUUUUUAAGUAAAAUGAGAGAGUUGCCCUUAAAAUUGCAUUAAUGAAAAGUCAUCCCUUUAAAAUAGAGGAGAGUGUUAUUUUUAUGCAAGUGCGGAUUUUUGAUGCCAAAACAAUAAAGAAAACCACAGUUUGUUCCAUUAAGCUUGUAUCAUAUUGUCAGCACUUGCCCAUAUGGAAAACAUAUAAAUUGUCAUGAAAACAUGAAAAUGGGACAAUUCAGUAAUGUUUUGAGUAGGCUUUAUAAAUAUCAUAUGUAUUUUUAAAUACAUAAGUGAUGCAGUUUUGAACACAAAAGAGCCACAGUUGUGGCAGCCAGAUUUUGCUGUGUUCCCAGAGCAGCAAAAUUAGCAGAGCUGCAAAUGUAGUUAUUUAAAAGUUGAAAAUUUGGAAUAAGUCAGAAUAAGUAUUUGGAGAUUUGGUGGGAAACUAAUAAAAGCUAAAAGUGGCACAAAUACACAUUCUUUUUUCUCACCAGAGGUCAGAACUUGUGGGUGUGCUUUUAGAUUUAACUGAACUUUUUUUCUUUUGUAGGAAGACUCAAUCAUUAAGCUUGACAACUUGGUGCUGGGGCACAUUUUCACCUCAUGGAUGGCUGAAGUUGUGAUAUUGGGCAAAGGGUAGAAAUGUGAACAGCUCUGUGACCUUUCACCACAUUAUGAGCUUGUGUGGGUCUGGAAAGUACUAAGGCUGGGUCUAUAGGUUUAUUCUUACCCUGCUGUUAAACAUACCAGUUGUACAGAAUGUCAGAGCUCAAUAGGUAUGAAUGGAAAAAUGAGGCUAUGCAUUAGCUGAGAAUCUGGCUCAUUAUGCAGAGAGGAGGAAUCUAAAGCUUCUUGGCAUUUUUUUUCCCCCUUAUGCCACUACAUGUGUUGAAUUUGUGAUGGCCUCAGUUUCAAAAAAAAUAAUUUCAAGCACUGUUGAGUAUUAUUGUGUGUAUAUUUCAGUAAUUGGUGCAGGCCGGAGACUAGGAGGUGUUUGGCAAGCAGCAGUGUUAUUUUGGGAUCCACUGUGCCCAGGAUUCCUUCACAUGCUAAUCAUUCAGCAGCUUUCUGCCAAAAUCCUUUCUGACUUGAUUCCCUGUUUGUAGAGUCAAUAACAUUCCUUUCUUUCCCACCUUGUAUAAGCCCUUCCUUAUGGAGUCUAAAGUCUCCAGAGCACAUCACACAUGCCUAGCUAAGGUCUUGUAGUACUACUUCAGUGCACCUCCUAAUGUAUUAAAUUGUCAUUCAAUGGUGUUCUGGGUCUUGAAAACAAUGUCACCUGAUUGUACUGGCUUAGCCUGUGAGUCUCCUGAGGCACCAUCUGAAUGAGAAUAGCUCACAUCUCUUCUCUGCAAAGGCCAGCUGGUGUGCAAACCCCACCUUUUUGUCUCUCCCUGCGGAUUUGUGACCUACCAAAUGGGGGUAUUCCAUCACUGGGAAGCUGUGCUUCCAACUGUGGAUUUUUUACUGUUUUUUACCCUGGUGCUAUGAGAAUCUGCUUCUAAAGCUUAAGAUAUCUACACUCAGAAUGCCAGUGCUUUGAAAGUAUAUUGUAGAGGGAUUCUGUGUUGGAGCCUCCUGAGAGGGAGGAAAGAGAACAUGCAAUUAAAAAAUAGUAAUUCUUGUUGUUAGUGACAUGGUAAUAACAACAAUGUCUGUCUUUUAAAAAAAUUCCAAAGAGGUCCUACUGAUUCAUAUUUGUAUAGAAACCGAUACUGGAAUGUGUAUUUCAUAGCUAGUGGCCAAGGGAUAAGAUAAAAUUCUGGUACUGUAUUUAUAUUGUGUUUUGCAGACAUAUCUAAUCUUCAGUGGCAUGAGAAAUGUUGUAGAAAAGUAUGUCAUCAAAAAUUGCUUCAGCAUCAUACUUAAAAAACUGUCCUCUGGAAAACAGAUCGUCUUAUCUCCUUUGUGGCAUCAAAAGCAUGUAUUCAGAGACGAUUGAGACAGAAGUGUCUGCUUUAUUUAAUAAGCACAUGAAGGGCCUGAUUCUGUUUACACUGAAGUCAGUGGAGAUUUCUGUCCUUGCUGGGAGCAGAAACAACUGUCUGAAUUCUACUUACAGCAUUUCAUUAGUGUUCUUUAUGGUAUGCACGUGGGGAACGGAGACUGGCCUCUCAAAUCAUGAAAAUAUUAUUAUAAUUGAAAAGAUAUUAGUGCUGUAACUUUGUCGGCAAUUAACAAACCUGUCAGUUCUGUUCUGUCAAAGUGUGUGCGUGACUACUCAGUGUUACGGUAUCUGAGUUCUGGCAGCAAAAAGAAUUUUUUGCACGUGCAUAUAUACAUUUUAACAUGCAUAUACAUCCUCUUUGUCUUCUGAGUAAUUUUUCAGAGUUUCUAAAAAUUACUGUCUUUUUGGGGAAGUGAUAGUGCAGGGCAUUAAUGAUUGUCACUUUUCUCCUGUUUCUCAGUUGUCUUGAGUGUGGAUUAGGAGGUUUUGCUCUGCUGUAGAGUUAUUUAGAAGAAGAUGAUGUUUAUGUUUCCUGCAAUUGUCCAAAUUCACCAUGUAAUACUGAUUUUUCAGCCAAUGGUAUGCUAAAAUUUUUUGAAAGGUUUUUUUUUUUUUAUGUUUUGAAGAAUUUCAGAAAAAAGUAAAAUUUUAGAGUAUCUGUGAAUCAGGUCUUUGGCAAUGCAGUGGACAAUAAGCUUUUGCAUUUGGCUUGAGAAGAAAAAUAAGUUAUGAGUAAUUUCAUAACAUUUUCUUUCAUCCAACAGCUUCUUUUGACUUUAUGGUAGCAGUAAUAGGCUAAAAUAACUGUCUUUUUGUGGGGUCUUUAUUAUGGAAUAUUGUUUUCCCUUCUGACCAUAUUAUUGCAUAUUUUUAGUUCCCUCUAGGGAGGAAAGUUUCUGAGAGACUUUGGUCGACACCAAUUGUUUGUCCUUCUGUAUCUCCCAAGGGGGUUGAAAACCAGCUAUUAGUGACAGUCUGAGAUCUUUUUUAUGCUUCCAAAAUAACUGCUUUACUAUAAAAGCAGAAGUUAAAUAGACAGUAUAACUCUCAAGCCAGUAUUCCUAGGCAUCUGUGAGAUCAAACCAGUUGAGAGUCACUUUUACAGAAAGGUUUUAGAAGCUCAGCUCACAUAAGCAUCUAAUUAUGAGGAUAUUUUUCUUAAUUUUGUCAAUUUCCUGAAAGUGUAAAUUUAAAACUCAAUCACAUUAUUAGGCUUGUGAAUCCACCCUUGUUGUAUUUAGAACUUUAUUUUUUUUUUCACCAGAAUCAGUCAGGAUAAGAAACUGUAAAAUUCUUCUAUAAAAUAGUUGAAAUUUUAAUAAAAUGCAUAAAUCUUAUUGAUCUCAUUAAAGGGGUUAGUUUUAUCAUCUUUGUCUUUAAUAUUUUUAAAUAUGUCAUAUAGUUUAGGAGCAUAAUGACAGGAUUUUUAUUUUCUUUUUGGAGACACUAAAAAAGGUUCUUAAUUUUAAAAUAACAACACUUUAGAAAAUGCUUUUCAAAUUCAAGAUCCAGUUAGAUGUCUUUAAACAUUUGGUGAGAUUUCUGUACUUUCAUUGAUAUGGUAUGGAGAAAAUAUUUUCCUAGUUUUACGUUGCUUUAAGAGACAGAAGACAUUUGUGGUGAAUCAUGGAGGAGUUUAGCUGUGAUAUGUUACUAAAAUGCAUUUUGGCAGCAAAUGGAGAAGUAACUACUCAAUCUGUUGUGAAACAAGAGAGUCUUUCAACCCAUUUUUCAAAGUGCUCUAAGUUCCAAUUUGAAGGCAAGUCAAACAAUAAAAGUAGUGAGCAAAGAAAAUUAAUGUGUAUCUGGAAUACUUUAAUUAAAAAUAAUAAUUAUAAUGGACCCAUGGUGCUCACGAGCUCCUAUUUUCUUCUUAUUGUUGAUUGAUUCUACUAAAUUUUACCCUCAGCAAAUUAUGUUGCUGUUCUGUUACAUUUCAUAUUUGAUUACUGAGAGAUAGUGAAGCAAUUUAAAUGGGACUUUUAGGAAAAAAAUUAGGCUCUGGUUUUGAAUUGAAGCAGUAUAUGUUAAAAUAAAGAAAGUUGUUUUAGUACAGUGAUUAUUUAUAAUAAAAGAUUUUGCAAUAAAGAUCCCAAGCAAGAAUUAAAUACAGGAAUUAAAUAGUCGGAAGACUGUCUUGAAAGCAUGAAACAAAUGGUAACUAACAGGAAAUUAAAAUGCAGCCUUGGUAAUAACAGAAUUUAAACACAUUUGAUUAUGGGAAACAAUGAAAUUAUUUCUCAUACAUACAUACUGCAUGCCUUGCUUCUAACUGUAAAUUCUCUAUUUUAUUCUUUAUCCUGGAAUGCUGAGUUUCUUCAGAGUGUGCUGUCAGCUCUGCUGCAAGAAUCCUCUUUCUGUUAGUAGCAUAAGCUGGUUGUGCACAAACUGUUUUAGUCUGGGAGCCUGCUCUUCAUGUUCUGCCAAUAAAGUUAAAUUGCACAUAGUUUUGUUACUUGGUGCACAUCCUUUUGGACAGAAAAGAUCUUUCUUCUCUGAAUUUGUAACUUUAUAAGAAACUGUAAUUUCACUUGAAUUUGCAGUGAUUCAUGUAUUUCACACUACAGUUCAGAAUGAUUCAGGUAUUGUGGCAAGGAGAAUGACUGUCAAACUGUCUUUACCAUGAAACCUUAAAAGUAAGGUAUGAUACUGCAGAUAUUGAGGUGUAUGAGAGUGACAGAGUUUGCCAUCAGAGCAGCAGUCUUUAAAAGAGGAUUGUGGUUCGAUUGUCACAGCUUACUGAAAACAAAAGCAAAACACUUGUUUAUUUAAGAACACUGUCUUUUAUUAUGUGUUCAGCAAGACAGAGAAAGUGACUCAGCAAAUCUGAUCUCAUUCUGACUCUUUUCUUCCAAAACUUGAAGAGAAUCCAAAUAAAGUGAUGGACUUCAAGCAGUA
Cyanistes caeruleus (blue tit) is the source of this 9421-nucleotide non-coding RNA. NCBI's taxonomy places the organism in Eukaryota, Metazoa, Chordata, Aves, Passeriformes, Paridae. The record is from RefSeq and is a predicted model, not a curated record.